AAGCACUCUCGACAACGGAUAUCUCGGCUCUCGCAUCGAUGAAGAACGUAGCGAAAUGCGAUACUUGGUGUGAAUUGCAGAAUUCCGUGAACCAUUGAGUCUUUGAACGCAAGUUGCGCCCGAAGCCAUCAGGUUGAGGGAUCGUCUGCCUGGGUGUCACGC
Molecule: ribosomal RNA, 162 nt
Filed under: Prangos pabularia
Lineage: Eukaryota; Viridiplantae; Streptophyta; Magnoliopsida; Apiales; Apiaceae
Description: 5.8S ribosomal RNA
Rfam family: 5.8S ribosomal RNA
About the family: 5.8S ribosomal RNA (5.8S rRNA) is a component of the large subunit of the eukaryotic ribosome.
Source: RNAcentral